Triticum dicoccoides is the source of this 459-nucleotide long non-coding RNA. RefSeq lists it as uncharacterized. NCBI's taxonomy places the organism in Eukaryota, Viridiplantae, Streptophyta, Magnoliopsida, Poales, Poaceae. The transcript is spliced from 3 exons. The record is from RefSeq and is a predicted model, not a curated record.
CCCAUUCGCUAUACUCGCUGGGUUGCCGAACAAGGAACGGCCGCCUCCGGGAUAUGGCCGUCAACUUCGCCUCUACCUCCGGAGGGUCGCCGUAAAAGUACCUGCUAAUGUCGUCAAUUGAUUGCCAUCGAAUCCUUCUAUGAGUGCCACCCCUUUCCAUCCAGAAAAUAACGAGAAUGGUCUCCUUCCUCAUUUGCUGGGUACUGGUAGAAGAAAAUGGCUCUAUACAGACAUUGGUUUUGAAUAGGCCAAGGUUACAGGACUCCUAAAAAAUCACUUCUUCAGAGGAGGGAAACAGAGUUGGACUGUUAAUUGUAAAGGUAAUGGACAAUACUGCAUGCUUGUUAUCAUUUAAUAUAUCACUGGUUUCUCAAAUAUAGCUCUGCAUAUCUUCUUUUCUGGUUUUGUAAUUGUGGGUCACCCCUUCCAAUAUUUGUAUUUUGUGUAUCAACAUGUAAC